UACGGGGGGGGCAAGCGUUGCUCGGAAUCACUGGGCGUAAAGCGCACGUAGGCGGAUCUUUAAGUCAGGGGUGAAAUCCCAAGGCUCAACCUUGGAACUGCCUUUGAUACUGGGGAUCUCGAGUCCGGAAGAGGUUGGUGGAACUGCGAGUGUAGAGGUGAAAUUCGUAGAUAUUCGCAAGAACACCAGUGGCGAAGGCGGCCAACUGGUCCGGCACUGACGCUGAGGUGCGAAAGCGUGGGGAGCAAACAGG
This 253-nucleotide ribosomal RNA is filed under the name uncultured bacterium. Its description in RNAcentral is "partial 16S ribosomal RNA". It matches the Rfam family "Bacterial small subunit ribosomal RNA", at positions 524 to 776 of the family's 1533-position model. The record is from RNAcentral.